GAAGCAAACGACCAAAAAGUUACGAUACUGUUCCGUGGAAAUGUUUAUUUGCUUCCGUUACUCAUCAUCUCAUCUCCUUUGAAUAAUAAUUGAAACAAAUGAAUACUGUUUUAAGUUGAAGUGUACGAUGAAAAGCGAAGGUGGAGAGGCGAGGCAAGUGAUGAGACGAAGUGAUCCAAGAGGAUUUUCACACGCAAAUUUUCACGGUACAUCUCUUUGCAGAUAAAAGGUAUUCACGAUUUCUCGCGACGCCUCGAGAAAAGCACUUGAUCUCUCCAAAAGAGACACGAAUUUUCCGCACCUUUUAACCACUCGCAUACUUGCUCAGUUUUCCAUUCAGCGACAUUUACAUACGCCAUGGCCCGAUCACGUAUUUAAUUCACAAAAUCCUUUAUUGCUGAAGAUAUUCUGUUCUGGUUAAUAGUCGGGCUCUGCUCGUCCUCGGUCGUGUUGUUCCAAUUUCCAGGCUGCCCGUCGAUAACUACUACAUGUUACUACAGAGCCAAAUGACAGCGACUAUACUUAAGUAUGCCGACUGCUGAGUAUACCAUGCGAGACAAUGUAUUAUUUUUCUUUUCUGCUUUGUAAGAUUGUAAUCCUUUAUUACGAUUUCCAUUUCGUUCACUUUAUCAAUAAAUUAUGAUGUGAAAUCUUA
This is a long non-coding RNA of Ceratina calcarata, 655 nucleotides long. RefSeq lists it as uncharacterized. The transcript is spliced from 2 exons. Lineage: Eukaryota; Metazoa; Arthropoda; Insecta; Hymenoptera; Apidae. The record is from RefSeq and is a predicted model, not a curated record.